UUAAUUUUGACAAUAACACCAUACCAUUACCCCAUUACAAGAUGAUAAAACCUAGUUGACUAAAAAAUAAAAUACAAGAAUUGUAAAAACAGGAAGCAAAUGAAAGAUUGAAACACAACAUGGUGAGGCAUAAGAGAACUGGUUUUAGUUUACUAACUAACAAAAACAGUCAACAAAAUGAAGAUUACAACAACAUAAAAAAUAAACUUUUGAAACUGCAUAAUACAAUUAAUAUCCUUGUUUAUUUUCAUCAAUUCGUUCUCUAUGUUCAAUAGUUUUUUGUCUUCGGACUUGACCUCUGUUGCUAAAUCAUGUUUCUCAUUCUGAACAUUAGAUGAUGGAAAAAUAACAGCAUUUAUCGGACUUUCCCAAUCAAUAAACCCACAAAUAUUUUGUCGGCAUGUUUAGUAGAGUCUAUUUGGAUUUAUGUCCAAUGUUGAUAUCUUUACUUCUGCAUGCUAUUUUUCUGUAUUGUAGAUGCUUGUGACACGAAGAUUACUACCGUUAAAACUUGAUGAAGACAUGUUGAAGGUUAGAUGCUUGUGUUGAUCUGAUGGAAUACAGUUUGAUAAUGUUAGGUGAAGAUUUGAUGGUAUGUAUGGUUUUGGUAACAAGGAAAAGGGGGAAAUAUGGUUUAUGUGUCUCUAAAC
This 650-nucleotide long non-coding RNA is filed under the name Cicer arietinum (chickpea). Its description in RNAcentral is "long non-coding RNA (CARI_LNC002927)". The record is from RNAcentral. Lineage: Eukaryota; Viridiplantae; Streptophyta; Magnoliopsida; Fabales; Fabaceae.